RNAcentral lists this ribosomal RNA (468 nucleotides) under uncultured bacterium. RNAcentral's name for it is "partial 16S ribosomal RNA". It matches the Rfam family "Bacterial small subunit ribosomal RNA", at positions 28 to 507 of the family's 1533-position model. The record is from RNAcentral.
GACGAACGCUGGCGGCGUGCUUAACACAUGCAAGUCGAACGGAAAGGCCCUGCUUUUGUGGGGUGCUCGAGUGGCGAACGGGUGAGUAACACGUGAGUAACCUGCCCUUGACUUUGGGAUAACUUCAGGUAACUGGGGCUAAUACCGUAUAGGAGCUCCUGCUGCAUGGUGGGGGUUGGAAAUUUUCGGCGGUUGGGGAUGGACUCGCGGCUUAUCAGCUUGUUGGUGGGGUAGUGGCUUACCAAGGCUUUGACGGGUAGCCGGCUUGAGAGGGUGACCGGCCACAUUGGGACUGAGAUACGGCCCAGACUCCUACGGGAGGCAGCAGUGGGGAAUAUUGCACAAUGGGCGGAAGCCUGAUGCAGCAACGCCGCGUGCGGGAUGACGGCCUUCGGGUUGUAAACCGCUUUCGCCUGUGACGAAGCGUGAGUGACGGUAAUGGGUAAAGAAGCACCGGCUAACUACGUG